AUGACCAAGACAGCCCAGUUCACGCCUCUCUUCAGAGCUCUGUACUGUGUUCUGCUACUCUCACAGCCGUUCUUCCUGGCCAUUGUAUACUUCUAUCUGUGUCCUACUCCUCCCCCUCCAUCCUAGCUGCGGCUAUUAAGGCCGCCCCUGUCAUCUCAUUGGCUCUCCUGGUGCUGAGCUACAAAGCGGAGACUGUUGCCUUAUAUGGCCCAGAGUCAUGUAAUGUUGUUGUCUCUCUAAUCCUCUCCUCAGGAAUGGCCUCCUUCGCCUUGGCCCACCUGCUCUACUCCCUCACCUUCCUCUCCACUCGUUACUCCUCCCCCAGCUCCUCCUCUUCACUGUCCUACUUCUUCUGCCUGCUCCUGUGGCUGCUGGGGGGAGGCCUCUACGCUUUCCUCUUCCCUUUCCUGCAGAAGACGCCGGAUGCUGCCGCCCUGACUCCCGGUGUCGGGGUGUACGUGGCUCUGAUCGUCCUGAUGGCUACGCUGGCGGUUCGCACCCGCCGACCGCUGAUCAUGCUGGGCAGUUUGAUCUUCAUGACCUCUGACCUGACGCUGGCGCUGCAGACCUUCAAAGUGACGGAGCACCUGGAGUACGGCAGGCACAUCGUCAUGACGACGUACUACCUGGCGCAGCUGCUGAUCGCCGUGGGUGACAUCAAGGCCGCGGAGGGCGGGGAUGAGUUUGCCAAAUGGAAGAAAUCUUAGUUAUGGGGUUAUGUCAGAUAGGGGCCAGGUCCCAAUUUUCCACCCUGCUCCCGAAGUGUACAAACAACUGUCCCCUUUCUCACAUGGACUUUACACUGGUGGAAACUCCCUCCAGCCAAUGCCUACUUAUACUACGCUCAUGCUUUUAAAUCAAUCACAGGGAGUGUUCAAGUGCACAAUUCUGGAAAAGGGUGAAGAAUCGGGACGUUGCCAUGGAAAGCAAACUUGGGACUACUGUUCUCUGACUAGUCGGCAGCUAUAGGAACUUCAGGCUGUUUGUUGAGACUAGACUGAGGAUGAGGCAGAAAGAAGUUGAAAAAGGAAGAUUCCCCCCCAAAGAAAAUCUUUAUUAAACUAAACCUCAGAGUAUCAGGACAGUCUGUCCGUUUGUUGAGAAAACUCAGGGAUGGGAAACAACCACUGCCAAAAUUCAGACAGCUAGAUGCAAGGACUGACAUGAGGUUGACAUGACAAUACUUUCCAUAGUCCAGAAUAAAGUUAGAAAUAUCAUUCUCCUUCACUAUGUCUGUGAAAACAGUCCUACGGUCUUAAAGACAUGAUUUGAGAUGUGAUGCACUUCCCUUGCUAGUUGUGAUUUAUCACACAUUCUGUAUAACGGUCUGUUGAUAUGAAGAGACGAUUCUCAGAAAUGAAGUCCAUUAUGAAAAAAUAAAAUGUUUAUUUAUUCAUGAUGAAAUGGGGAUGAAAAAUAAACAAAGUUGUGUUCCAUAUUUCAUGUUAUUUCAGACGUAAGAACUCUGCAAAAGUCACCCAUUAUGUUUAUAGACACAGACAAGACAGAAACAUCUCAACAAAACAUGGACAAAUGGUGGAUAUUCUGAAUGAAAGACAGUCAUUAAAGCAAAACACAAGAGGCCAACAGAAAUGCCUUAUGGGUAGUGAAACAUGAUCAAAAUGGAUUCUAAUAAAACAUCUGACUAAUGAAGCUGAAAGCUGCUAAAUGGGUAACACUUUAUUUUACAGCCUAAUUACCUGCUAUUUAUUCAGAAACACAAUAACUAUUUUAUGUAGUUUAACAGCGUAAAUUACUUAGUGUUACCCAAUAACUAGUUGUAUUUGUUAAAAUUAUUUACCAAGUGACAAGAGGAUACCAAUUAUUACCAAGUAACGUCACACUAUGCCAGAUAUAUAAAUGGUGACGGGGCUGUGAAAUCGCAUUACCACUAAAUGUGACAUCUGAUAUUUUAUGUGGAAUCUGAGGGAUUGUUGGGCCAGAAUCCAAGGCUCAAGGCUUCUCUAAUCUGUUCUCUUUAACAGCAACAGCAACAGGGGAGUACAUCACAAAGCAGGAUCAGAUAACCUGAAGAAAUGUUCAGAAAUGACUUACGGUGCUAUC
Oncorhynchus keta (chum salmon) is the source of this 2064-nucleotide RNA transcript. It is a transcript of the gene named lysoplasmalogenase-like protein TMEM86A, with no coding region annotated. NCBI's taxonomy places the organism in Eukaryota, Metazoa, Chordata, Actinopteri, Salmoniformes, Salmonidae. The record is from RefSeq and is a predicted model, not a curated record. The transcript has 4 exons.